This 253-nucleotide ribosomal RNA is filed under the name uncultured bacterium. RNAcentral's name for it is "partial 16S ribosomal RNA". It matches the Rfam family "Bacterial small subunit ribosomal RNA", at positions 524 to 776 of the family's 1533-position model. The record is from RNAcentral.
UACGAAAGGGGCUAGCGUUUUUCGGAAUUACUGGGCGUAAAGCGCACGUAGGCGGCCUUGUAAGUUGGGGGUGAAAUCCCGGGGCUCAACUCCGGAACUGCCUUCAAGACUGCAAAGCUAGAGGAUGCGAGAGGUUAGCGGAAUUCCGAGUGUAGAGGUGAAAUUCGUAGAUAUUCGGAAGAACACCAGUGGCGAAGGCGGCUAACUGGCGCAUUUCUGACGCUGAGGUGCGAAAGCGUGGGGAGCAAACAGG